UACGUAGGGUCCGAGCGUUGUCCGGAAUUACUGGGCGUAAAGAGCUCGUAGGUGGUUUGUCGCGUUGUUUCGUGAAAACUCACAGCUCAACUGUGGGCGUGCGGGCGGAUACGGGCAGACUUGAGUAUCUGCAGGGGAGACUGGAAUUCCUGGUGUAGCGGUGGAAUGCGCAGAUAUCAGGAGGAACACCAGUGGCGAAAGCGGCUUCUGGUCCUUAACUGACACUGAUGCGCGAAAGCAUGGGGAGC
RNAcentral lists this ribosomal RNA (248 nucleotides) under uncultured bacterium. RNAcentral describes it as "partial 16S ribosomal RNA". It matches the Rfam family "Bacterial small subunit ribosomal RNA", at positions 524 to 769 of the family's 1533-position model. The record is from RNAcentral.